AAGAUCUUCUGAGCAAGAGUAGUCUUUCCCAUGCCACCAACACCAAUUAUAGACACGACUUUGAUGCUGUGAUUAUUAUCACUUGAGGUUAGCACCUGGACGAGCUCCCUUGUAUCCCUCUCUAUCUGUUCCCCAACUAUGGCUGACUCGUCGACAUGUGAAAUUGUCCUAUAGCUGGAUAACUCAGCAGCAGUUAGCUUCAUUGGCUUCGGACUGGAACCAAGGCCAAUACUGAACUUGUACUUGUCUGCCUCCUUGUGGAUGCCUUCCAGUCGCUGGUUCAGCUCCUUGAUGCGGCUGCCUAUCUUGUGUGCGAACACGGGAUUCCGCAGGCAGAAGAGCAAUGGCUGGAAACAGCCGGGAGACUUAUGCUCCACAGUGCCACCACUUCUAGACUCCCUCCGCUUGGCAGCCUCGAGCUGGCACAGGUCGAGGAUGUCAGUGGCGUCAUACAUGGCGUUCUUGAGCUUUGUUGACCAUCUUUGCACGCUUGUGUCGGUGAUGCGCCUCCUCUCGGCAUCU
This 522-nucleotide long non-coding RNA is filed under the name Sorghum bicolor (sorghum). RNAcentral's name for it is "long non-coding RNA (SBIC_LNC009772)". Lineage: Eukaryota; Viridiplantae; Streptophyta; Magnoliopsida; Poales; Poaceae. The record is from RNAcentral.